CCGCUUCAUACCCACACUUCAUCCUCCUCAGUUUCUCUCCAGGCCACCAUGUCUGCAGGCAACGGCACCCCUUGGGGUCAGCAGCGGGGGAGGAGGUCUGGGCUGGAUCAGGAGUGGAGGUGGAGGGCUCAGAGCUGCCCACCUUCUCGGCAGCAGCCAAGGUCCGAGUGGGAGUGACCAUUGUGCUGUUUGUUUCUUCGGCUGGAGGGAACCUGGCAGUCCUGUGGUCAGUGACACGGCGGCAACCCAGCCAGCUCCGCCCCUCUCCGGUCAGGAGACUCUUCACCCAUUUAGCAGCCGCCGACUUACUAGUCACUUUUGUGGUUAUGCCCCUAGAUGCCACCUGGAAUAUCACUGUUCAAUGGCUGGCUGUGGACAUCCCAUGUCGGACACUCAUGUUCCUGAAACUAAUGGCCACGUAUUCUGCAGCUUUCCUGCCUGUGGUCAUUGGAUUGGACCGCCAGGCAGCAGUACUCAACCCGCUUGGAUCCCGUUCAGGUGUAAGGAAACUUCUGGGGGCAGCUUGGGGACUUAGUUUCCUGCUUGCCUUGCCCCAGCUGUUCCUGUUCCACACCGUCCACUGAGCUGGCCCAGUCCCUUUCACUCAGUGUGUCACCAAAGGCAGCUUCAAGGCUCAAUGGCAAGAGACCACCUAUAACCUCUUCACCUUCUGCUGCCCCUUUCUGCUGCCACUGACUGUCAUGGCCAUCUGCUAUAGCCGCAUUGUCCUCAGUGUGUCCAGCCCCCAGACAAGGAAGGGGAGCCAUGCCCCUGCUGGUGAAUUUGCCCUCCCCCGCUCCUUUGACAAUUGUCCCCAUGUUCGUCUCCGGGCCCUGAGACUGGCCCUGCUUAUCUUGCUGACCUUCAUCCUCUGCUGGACACCUUAUUACCUACUGGGUAUGUGGUACUGGUUCUCCCCCACCAUGCUAACUGAAGUCCCUCCCAGCCUGAGCCACAUCCUUUUCCUCUUGGGCCUCCUCAAUGCUCCUUUGGAUCCUCUCCUCUAUGGGGCCUUCACCUUUGGCUGCCGAAGAGGGCACCAAGAACUUAGUAUAGACUCUUCUAAAGAAGGGUCUGGGAGAAUGCUCCAAGAGGAGAUUCAUGCCUUUAGACAGCUGGACGUACAAAAAACUGUGACAUCAAGAAGGGCAGGAGAAACAAAAGGCAUUUCUAUAACAUCUAUCUGA
This 1187-nucleotide small RNA is filed under the name Pan troglodytes (chimpanzee). Its description in RNAcentral is "transcribed unitary pseudogene". The record is from RNAcentral. Lineage: Eukaryota; Metazoa; Chordata; Mammalia; Primates; Hominidae.